GGCUUUCCCUGCUUUAAAACUAGAUGAUGCUCUCUCUUUUCCCUCAGUGAUUCCUUGGUGGCAUUGGGGUCUUUCAGUGGUGAGGAAACAGGAAGAAUUCCCAGGAGACCUUGACAUGGGUAGGCCCAGAGGUAACCACAAGAUCUCCUGAGGACAGAAGGCACCGGCCGGGCCUCUUAGUUAGAAUUGGUUUCCUAUCACUUAAAAUCAAGCACUCUGGAUCAAGAAAGAAGUGGAGGAUGAGGAGGGUAUGUGAAAGUCAAGAAACAACUUCUUGAGGUGAGUCCAAUCUCUCCUUACAUCCUUAUGUGGGUUCUUGGGACUGAACUUCUCCCAUAAAGUUU
This 344-nucleotide long non-coding RNA is filed under the name Mus spicilegus (steppe mouse). RNAcentral's name for it is "lncRNA (ENSMSIG00000015067.1)". The record is from RNAcentral. Lineage: Eukaryota; Metazoa; Chordata; Mammalia; Rodentia; Muridae.